RNAcentral lists this ribosomal RNA (294 nucleotides) under uncultured bacterium. RNAcentral's name for it is "partial 16S ribosomal RNA". It matches the Rfam family "Bacterial small subunit ribosomal RNA", at positions 29 to 351 of the family's 1533-position model. The record is from RNAcentral.
AACGAACGCUGGCGGCAUGCCUAACACAUGCAAGUCGAACGAGACCUUCGGGUCUAGUGGCGCACGGGUGCGUAACGCGUGGGAAUCUGCCCUUUGCUUCGGAAUAACAGUUAGAAAUGACUGCUAAUACCGGAUGAUGUCUUCGGACCAAAGAUUUAUCGGCAAAGGAUGAGCCCGCGUAGGAUUAGGUAGUUGGUGGGUAAAGGCCUACCAAGCCGACGAUCCUUAGCUGGUCUGAGAGGAUGAUCAGCCACACUGGGACUGAGACACGGCCCAGACUCCUACGGGAGGCAG